This 64-nucleotide transfer RNA is filed under the name Blaesoxipha lapidosa. RNAcentral describes it as "tRNA-Arg". The record is from RNAcentral. Lineage: Eukaryota; Metazoa; Arthropoda; Insecta; Diptera; Sarcophagidae.
GAAUAUGAAGCGAUAUAUUGCAAUUAGUUUCGACCUAAUUUUAGGUAAAGUAUACCCUUAUUCU